CCUACGGGAGGCAGCAGUGAGGAAUAUUGGUCAAUGGACGAGAGUCUGAACCAGCCAAGUAGCGUGAAGGAUGACUGCCCUAUGGGUUGUAAACUUCUUUUAUAUGGGGAUAAAACGUUCCACGUGUGGGAUUUUGUAUGUACCAUAUGAAUAAGGAUCGGCUAACUCCGUGCCAGCAGCCGCGGUAAUACGGAGGAUCCGAGCGUUAUCCGGAUUUAUUGGGUUUAAAGGGAGCGUAGGUGGAUUGUUAAGUCAGUUGUGAAAGUUUGCGGCUCAACCGUAAAAUUGCAGUUGAAACUGGCAGUCUUGAGUACAGUAGAGGUGGGCGGAAUGCGUGGUGUAGCGGUGAAAUGCUUAGAUAUCACGAAGAACUCCGAUUGCGAAGGCAGUUCACUGGACUGCAACUGACACUGAGGCUCGAAAGUGUGGGUAUCAAACAGGAUUAGAUACCCCUGUAGUC
This 460-nucleotide ribosomal RNA is filed under the name uncultured bacterium. Its description in RNAcentral is "partial 16S ribosomal RNA". It matches the Rfam family "Bacterial small subunit ribosomal RNA", at positions 338 to 795 of the family's 1533-position model. The record is from RNAcentral.